This 409-nucleotide ribosomal RNA is filed under the name uncultured microorganism. RNAcentral's name for it is "bacterial SSU rRNA". It matches the Rfam family "Archaeal small subunit ribosomal RNA", at positions 330 to 745 of the family's 1478-position model. The record is from RNAcentral.
GUGCAGCAGUCGAGAAACUUUACAAUGUGCGAAAGCACGAUAAGGGAACUCUGAGUGCCUCCUAAGGAGGCUGUUCAGGUGUCUAAAAGCACCUGAAGGAAGGGCUGGGUAAGACCGGUGCCAGCCGCCGCGGUAACACCGGCAGCCCAAGUGGUAGCCACGUUUAUUGGGUCUAAAGCGUCCGUAGCCGGCUGGGUAAGUUCCUUGGGAAAUUUGGCUGCUUAACAGUCAAGCUUUCAGGGAAUACUGCUCGGCUUGGGACCGGGAGAGGUCAGAGGUACUCCAGGGGUAGGGGUGAAAUCCAUUAAAUCCUUGGGGGACCACCGGUAGCGAAGGCGUCUGACCAGACCGGGUCCGACGGUGAGGGACGAAGGCUAGGGGCGCGAACCGGAUUAGAUACCCCUGUAGU